Molecule: ribosomal RNA, 910 nt
Filed under: Mallocybe sp.
Lineage: Eukaryota; Fungi; Basidiomycota; Agaricomycetes; Agaricales; Inocybaceae
Description: partial large subunit ribosomal RNA
Rfam family: Eukaryotic large subunit ribosomal RNA
Source: RNAcentral
UAGCGAGGAAAAGAAACUAACAAGGAUUCCCCUAGUAACUGCGAGUGAAGCGGGAAGAGCUCAAAUUUGAAAUCUGACAGUUAUCUUUUGCUGUCCGAGUUGUAAUCUGGAGAAGUGUUACCCGUGCUGGACCAUGUACAAGUCUCCUGGAAUGGAGCAUCAUAGAGGGUGAGAAUCCUGUCUUUGACAUGGACUGCCAGUGCUUUUGUGGUGCACUCUCAAAGAGUCGAGUUGUUUGGGAAUGCAGCUCAAAAUUGGUGGUAAAUGCCAUCUAAAGCUAAAUAUUGGCGAGAGACCGAUAGCGAACAAGUACCGUGAGGGAAAGAUGAAAAGAACUUUGGAAAGAGAGUUAAACAGUACGUGAAAUUGCUGAAAGGGAAACGCUUGAAGUCAGUCGCAUUGGUUGGAAAUCAGCCUUGCUUUUGCUUGAUGUACUUUCCAUCUAAUGGGUCAGCAUCAAUUUUGAUUGCUGGAUAAAGGCUUGGGGAAUGUGGCAUCUCAGGAUGUGUUAUAGCCCUUUGUUGUAUACAGCAGUUGGGAUUGAGGAACUCAGCAUGCCGCAAGGCCUGGUCUUAUGACCAUGUUCAUGCUUAGGAUGCUGGCAUAAUGGCUUUAAUCGACCCGUCUUGAAACACGGACCAAGGAGUCUAACAUGCAUGCGAGUGUUUGGGUGGAAAACCCAUGCGCGUAAUGAAAGUGAAAGUUGAGAUCCCUGUCGUGGGGAGCAUUGACACCCAGACCAGACCUUUUGUGACGGAUCUGUGGUAGAGCAUGUAUGUUGGGACCCGAAAGAUGGUGAACUAUGCCUGAAUAGGGUGAAGCCAGAGGAAACUCUGGUGGAGGCUCGUAGCGAUUCUGACGUGCAAAUCGAUCGUCAAAUUUGGGUAUAGGGGCGAAAGACUAAUCGAAC